UUUUUGUCAGGCUGCAUAAUGUGAUUAUAUUGAAAAUAUCUUACAUAUUUCCUCAACCAAGACUAUGGUUCACCAUCCUCAAAAUAUGGAAACCCAAUUUUAUGAUGAAAUACAGUCAUUUGAUUAUAUCUCGCUACAGAUACACCAUUAGGGUUCCUAUCAGGAUUCCCCCAUUUCUCCUCGAGCCACGAGCUUGCAUAUGGGAUGAAGCUUCCAAAAUUUUAUCUCUGGUUGUACCCAGUUGCUUUCUCUACCUUCUGAGCCACAACUGAAACAUGUGAAGAAAACUGAGAUUUCGCUUUCUUAGUACUUUCCUCCAUAGCUUUUGAUCUUGUCUAUUUAAUGGUCAUUAGGGCCAGGAUGAGCUUUGAUACCACAUUUCAAUGGACUUCAUAAUACAAUUUAAAAUUAUGGAUAAAUUGGGAUUUUAUUAUCAAUCAAUCUUUCACAAUUACACUUCAAUUGAGAAAAUACAAUUAACUAAAUUAUUAUUCCUAGCCAGUACGCCAUUGAUAAAACUUCAAGCUUCCAUGAUUCCUGUAACAGAGAAUUAGAGUUGAGGAAGAAGAGAUUUGAGUAAAGGGAGAAAUAUUUUGAGAUUCAAAUGUUAUCACUAACUGUCUAAUUGAAUAAUCCCAAUUCUUGUAGAGAUAUUUGUUGAGAGAGC
Molecule: long non-coding RNA, 667 nt
Filed under: Capsicum annuum
Lineage: Eukaryota; Viridiplantae; Streptophyta; Magnoliopsida; Solanales; Solanaceae
Description: long non-coding RNA (CANN_LNC003229)
Source: RNAcentral